Molecule: transfer RNA, 79 nt
Filed under: Silvimonas iriomotensis
Lineage: Bacteria; Pseudomonadati; Pseudomonadota; Betaproteobacteria; Neisseriales; Chitinibacteraceae
Description: tRNA-Ser
Source: RNAcentral
CCGGUGUGGCCAAUGGCGCGACGGUGAAUUACUGGUUUACCAUCGGCCAGGCCAAUGGUUCUGCGGCCGAUACCCCGGC